UACGAAGGGGGCUAGCGUUGCUCGGAAUCACUGGGCGUAAAGGGUGCGUAGGCGGGUUUUUAAGUCAGGGGUGAAAUCCUGGAGCUCAACUCCAGAACUGCCUUUGAUACUGAAGAUCUUGAGUCCGGGAGAGGUGAGUGGAACUGCGAGUGUAGAGGUGAAAUUCGUAGAUAUCGUUUGGAACGCCAAUGGUGAAAACAGGUCGCUGGGGAUGAGCUGACGCUGAGACACGAAAGCCAGGGGAGCAAACGGG
RNAcentral lists this ribosomal RNA (253 nucleotides) under uncultured bacterium. Its description in RNAcentral is "partial 16S ribosomal RNA". It matches the Rfam family "Bacterial small subunit ribosomal RNA", at positions 524 to 776 of the family's 1533-position model. The record is from RNAcentral.